This 483-nucleotide ribosomal RNA is filed under the name uncultured bacterium. Its description in RNAcentral is "bacterial SSU rRNA". It matches the Rfam family "Bacterial small subunit ribosomal RNA", at positions 26 to 518 of the family's 1533-position model. The record is from RNAcentral.
AGGACGAACGCUGGCGGCGUGCCUAACACAUGCAAGGUCGAACGGGACGAGGGGAGCUUGCUCCCCGAGUUAGUGGCGAACGGGUGAGUAACGCGUGAGCAACCUGCCUUUCAGAGGGGGACAACGGUUGGAAACGACCGCUAAUACCGCAUGAAGCAAUCGGACCGCAUGAUCUGAUUGCCAAAGAUUUUUAUCGCUGAAAGAUGGGCUCGCGUCUGAUUAGAUAGUUGGUGGGGUAACGGCUCACCAAGUCGACGAUCAGUAGCCGGACUGAGAGGUUGAACGGCCACAUUGGGACUGAGAUACGGCCCAGACUCCUACGGGAGGCAGCAGUGGGGAAUAUUGGGCAAAUGGGGGAAACCCUGACCCAGCAACGCCGCGUGAAGGAAGAAGGCUUUCGGGUUGUAAACUUCUUUUACCAGGGACGAAGGACGUGACGGUACCUGGAGAAAAAGCCACGGCUAACUACGUGCCAGCAGCUGC